Molecule: ribosomal RNA, 468 nt
Filed under: uncultured bacterium
Lineage: Bacteria
Description: partial 16S ribosomal RNA
Rfam family: Bacterial small subunit ribosomal RNA
Source: RNAcentral
GACGAACGCUGGCGGCGGGCUUAACACAUGCAAGUCGAACGGAAAGGCCCUGCGUUUGUGGGGUGCUCGAGUGGCGAACGGGUGCGUAACACGUGAGUAACCUGCUCUUGACUUUGGGAGAACAUCAGGAAACGGGGGCUAAUACCGGACAGGAGCUCCCGUUGCAUGGUGGGGGUUGGAUAGUUGCGGCGGGCGGGGAUGGACUCGCGGCUGAUCAGCUUGCUGGUGGGGGAGUGGCUUACCAACUCUUUGACGGGUAGCCGGCCUUAGAGGGUGAACGGCGACAUUAGGCCUACGAGACGGACCAGAGUGCUAUAGGGGGCAACAGUGGGGAAUCUUAUACAAUGGUCGCGCGCGUGAUGAAGCAACGCCGCGUUCGGGAUGACGGCCUUCGGGUUGAGAACCGCUUUCGGCUGAGACGAAGCGUUAGUGACGGUACUGAAUGAAGAAGCACCGGCUAACUACGUG